RNAcentral lists this ribosomal RNA (253 nucleotides) under uncultured bacterium. RNAcentral's name for it is "partial 16S ribosomal RNA". It matches the Rfam family "Bacterial small subunit ribosomal RNA", at positions 524 to 776 of the family's 1533-position model. The record is from RNAcentral.
UACGGGGGGAGCAAGCGUUGUUCGGAUUUACUGGGCGUAAAGGGCGCGUAGGCGGCUUUGCAAGUCGGGUGUGAAAGCCCUCAGCUCAACUGAGGAAGUGCGCCCGAAACUGCAGAGCUUGAGUGCCGGAGAGGGUGGCGGAAUUCCCCAAGUAGAGGUGAAAUUCGUAGAUAUGGGGAGGAACACCGGUGGCGAAGGCGGCCACCUGGACGGUAACUGACGCUGAGACGCGAAAGCGUGGGGAGCAAACAGG